RNAcentral lists this ribosomal RNA (253 nucleotides) under uncultured bacterium. RNAcentral's name for it is "partial 16S ribosomal RNA". It matches the Rfam family "Bacterial small subunit ribosomal RNA", at positions 524 to 776 of the family's 1533-position model. The record is from RNAcentral.
UACGGAGGGUGCAAGCGUUAUCCGGAUUCACUGGGCUUAAGGGGUGCGUAGGCGGUUUGGUAAGUCCGUGGUGAAAUCCCCGAGCUUAACUUGGGAACUGCCGUGGAUACUAUCAGUCUUGAAUAUCGUGGAGGUAAGCGGAAUAUGUCAUGUAGCGGUGAAAUGCUUAGAUAUGACAUAGAACACCAAUUGCGUAGGCAGCUUACUACACGAUCAUUGACGCUGAGGCACGAAAGCGUGGGGAGCAAACAGG